GUCCACGCCCUAAACUAUGUCAACUGGUUGUCGGGGGAUUAAUUCCCUUGGUAACGAAGCUAACGCGUGAAGUUGACCGCCUGGGGAGUACGGCCGCAAGGUUAAAACUCAAAGGAAUUGACGGGGACCCGCACAAGCGGUGGAUUAUGUGGAUUAAUUCGAUGCAACGCGAAAACCUUACCUACCCUUGACGAUGCUAGGAAGCUCGCAGAGAUGUGAGUGUGCCCGAAAGGGAACCUAGACACAGGUGCUGCAUGGCUGUCGU
RNAcentral lists this ribosomal RNA (265 nucleotides) under uncultured bacterium. Its description in RNAcentral is "partial 16S ribosomal RNA". It matches the Rfam family "Bacterial small subunit ribosomal RNA", at positions 793 to 1055 of the family's 1533-position model. The record is from RNAcentral.